RNAcentral lists this ribosomal RNA (253 nucleotides) under uncultured prokaryote. RNAcentral's name for it is "partial 16S ribosomal RNA". It matches the Rfam family "Bacterial small subunit ribosomal RNA", at positions 525 to 777 of the family's 1533-position model. The record is from RNAcentral.
ACGGGGGGUGCGAGCGUUGUCCGGAAUCACUGGGCGUAAAGGGCGCGUAGGUGGCCUGAUAAGGGUGUGGUGAAAGUCCGGGGCUUAACCCCGGAUCUGCCGUGCCGACUGUUAGGCUAGAGUGCUGUAGGGGCAGGCGGAAUUCCGGGUGUAGCGGUGGAAUGCGUAGAGAUCCGGAGGAAGACCGGUGGCGAAGGCGGCCUGCUGGGCAGAUACUGACACUGAGGCGCGACAGCGUGGGGAGCAAACAGGA